This 186-nucleotide long non-coding RNA is filed under the name Anser cygnoides (Swan goose). Its description in RNAcentral is "lncRNA (ENSACDG00005006678.1)". The record is from RNAcentral. Lineage: Eukaryota; Metazoa; Chordata; Aves; Anseriformes; Anatidae.
AUGGCUCAAGGAUGGUUAUCUGCAAACGGAGCAGAAGCAGCUCUGAGGUUGCUGCCUCCUAGAAGUACAGCUUCAGCUGCUUGCUGUUGCCACUUAUCUUUUGCCAGAAGCAGCUCAGCGCAUUCAAGGUACUUUUCUUCAUCAGCUUUGGGAAUCAAGUAAGAGAGUGCCUUCCUGCCUCCCUCU